Molecule: ribosomal RNA, 506 nt
Filed under: uncultured bacterium
Lineage: Bacteria
Description: partial 16S ribosomal RNA
Rfam family: Bacterial small subunit ribosomal RNA
Source: RNAcentral
AUUGAACGCUGGCGGCAUGCCUUACACAUGCAAGUCGAACGGCAGCAUGGAAGAGCUUGCUCUUCUGAUGGCGAGUGGCGAACGGGUGAGUAAAGCAUCGGAACGUACCGUGUAGUGGGGGAUAACGUAGCGAAAGUUACGCUAAUACCGCAUACGCACUGAGGUGGAAAGCAGGGGAUCGCAAGACCUUGCGCUAUACGAGCGGCCGAUGUCAGAUUAGCUAGUUGGUAGGGUAAAGGCCUACCAAGGCGACGAUCUGUAGCGGGUCUGGGAGGAUGAGCCGCCAAACUGGGACUGAGACACGGCCCAGACUCCUACGGGAGGCAGCAGUGGGGAAUUUUGGCCAAUGGGCGAAAGCCUGAUUCAGCCAUGCCGCGUGAGUGAAGAAGGCCUUCGGGUUGUAAAGCUCUUUCGGCUGGGAAGAAAUCGCACAGGCUAAUACUCUGUGUGGAUGACGGUACCAGCACAAGAAGCACCGGCUAACUACGUGCCAGCCGCCGCCGUAA